UACGGGGGGGGCAAGCGUUGUUCGGAAUUACUGGGCGUAAAGGGCUCGUAGGCGGCCAACUAAGUCAGACGUGAAAUCCCUCGGCUUAACCGGGGAACUGCGUCUGAUACUGGAUGGCUUGAGUUUGGGAGAGGGAUGCGGAAUUCCAGGUGUAGCGGUGAAAUGCGUAGAUAUCUGGAGGAACACCGGUGGCGAAGGCGGCAUCCUGGACCAACACUGACGCUGAGGGGCGAAAGCCAGGGGAGCAAACGGG
RNAcentral lists this ribosomal RNA (253 nucleotides) under uncultured bacterium. RNAcentral describes it as "partial 16S ribosomal RNA". It matches the Rfam family "Bacterial small subunit ribosomal RNA", at positions 524 to 776 of the family's 1533-position model. The record is from RNAcentral.